AGCGAACGCUGGCGGCAGGCUUAACACAUGCAAGUCGAGCGGGCAUCCUUGUGGUGUCAGCGGCAGACGGGUGAGUAACGCGUGGGAACGUGCCCUUCGGUUCGGAAUAACUCAGGGAAACUUGAGCUAAUACCGGAUACGUGCGAGAGCAGAAAGGUUUAUCUGCCGAAGGAUCGGCCCGCGUCUGAUUAGCUAGUUGGUGAGGUUAUGACUCACCAAGGCGACGAUCAGUAGCUGGUCUGAGAGGAUGAUCAGCCGCACUGGGACUGAGACACGGCCCAGACUCCUACGGGAGGCAGCAGUGGGGAAUAUUGGACAAUGGGGGCAACCCUGAUCCAGCCAUGCCGCGUGAGUGAUGACGGCCUUAGGGUUGUAAAGCUCUUUUCUCCGGGACGAUAAUGGCGGUACCGGAGGAAUAAGCCCCGGCUAACUUCGUG
This 437-nucleotide ribosomal RNA is filed under the name uncultured bacterium. RNAcentral describes it as "partial 16S ribosomal RNA". It matches the Rfam family "Bacterial small subunit ribosomal RNA", at positions 29 to 507 of the family's 1533-position model. The record is from RNAcentral.